CCUUCGGGAACUCUGACACAGGUGCUGCAUGGCUGUCGUCAGCUCGUGUCGUGAGAUGUUGGGUUAAGUCCGUAACGAGCGUCAACCCUUGUCCUUAGUUACCAGCACGUUAUGGUGGGCACUCUAAGGAGACUGCCGGUGACAAACCGGAGGAAGGUGGGGGAUGACGUCAAGUCAUCAUGGCCCUUACGGCCUGGGCUACACACGUGCUACAAUGGUCGGUACAAAGGGUUGGCCAAGCCGCGAGGUGGAGCUAAUCCCAUAAAACCGAUCGUAGUCCGGAUCGCAGUCUGCAACUCGACUGCGUGAAGUCGGAAUCGCUAGUAAUCGUGAAUCAGAAUGUCACGGUGAAUACGUUCCCGGGCCUU
This 368-nucleotide ribosomal RNA is filed under the name uncultured Pseudomonas sp. RNAcentral's name for it is "bacterial SSU rRNA". It matches the Rfam family "Bacterial small subunit ribosomal RNA", at positions 1017 to 1382 of the family's 1533-position model. The record is from RNAcentral. Lineage: Bacteria; Pseudomonadati; Pseudomonadota; Gammaproteobacteria; Pseudomonadales; Pseudomonadaceae.